ACUCAAAUGAAUAGACGGGGACCCGCACAAGCAGUGGAGCAUGUGGUUUAAUUCGACGAUACGCGAAAAACCUUACCUGGGUUUGACAUCCUCGGAACCCCGCAGAGACGCGGGGGUGCCUUCGGGAGCCGAGAGACAGGUGGUGCAUGGCUGUCGUCAGCUCGUGUCGUGAGAUGUUGGGUUAAGUCCCGCAACGAGCGCAACCCUUGUCUAGUGUUACCAUUCCGCAAGGAGGGACUCUCUAGAGACUGCCUGUAAAAAGCAGGAGGAAGGUGGGGACGACGUCAAGUCAUCAUGCCCCUUACAUCCAGGGCUACACACAUGCUACAAUGGCCGGUACAAAGGGCCGCAAGCCAGCGAUGGCAAGCUAAUCUCAUAAAACCGGUCUCAAUUCGGAUUGGAGGCUGCAAUUCGCCUCCAUGAAGCCGGAAUUGCUAGUAAACGCGCAUCAGCACGGCGCGUUGAAUACGUUCCCGGGUCUUGUACACACCGCCCGU
Molecule: ribosomal RNA, 497 nt
Filed under: uncultured bacterium
Lineage: Bacteria
Description: partial 16S ribosomal RNA
Rfam family: Bacterial small subunit ribosomal RNA
Source: RNAcentral